UCCGUAGCCGGGUCGUUAAGUCUCUUGGGAAAUCCAACGGCUCAACCGUUGGGCGUUCAAGGGAUACUGGCGAUCUAGGGACUGGGGGAGGUGAGAGGUACUCUAGGGGUAGGAGUGAAAUCCUGUAAUCCUUGGGGGACCACCUGUGGCGAAGGCGUCUCACCAGAACAGCUCCGACGGUGAGGGACGAAAGCUGGGGGAGCAAACCGGAUUAGAUACCCGGGUAGUCCCAGCUGUAAACGAUGCGCGUUAGGUGUAUCGGUGACUACGAGUCACCGAGGUGCCGAAGGGAAACCGUGAAACGUGCCGCCUGGGAAGUACGGUCGCAAGGCUGAA
Molecule: ribosomal RNA, 336 nt
Filed under: uncultured bacterium
Lineage: Bacteria
Description: bacterial SSU rRNA
Rfam family: Archaeal small subunit ribosomal RNA
Source: RNAcentral